UUUCUGAAAAAUGUCAAUUAAAGAAAAGAUAUCUGUCAAUUUAUAAAUAUUAUACACUAUAUUUAUUUUUUUAAAUUUUUAGAAAAUUCAUUUACAUAAUGGGAUUUAGAUUUUCACAGACCUUUUGAAUAAAGAAUCCCUUUUAUGAUAAGAUAAUCCUACUCAAUUAACAAUAUAAAGAAACAUUUUUGGAUUUUAAAAAGAUAAAUAAAUAUAAUAAAGAAUGAAGCUAUUUUUAUUUAAUCUUAAUAUGUAUACUUAAUAAGUUAUCUGGGUUUUGAACCAUGGCAAUUAUUUUUGCUAAUAAUUUUUUAAAUAAUCAUUUUCAAUGGGGUAAAUAUUACCACAUUUUUGUGAGGCAAUCAGGUUGGACCCAUAAUUGAUUUCUAUUUAUGAUAAAUGAUUCUUUGAGGUAAGUGUAAAUUAUAUACAAAAUUAUAAGUGAGAGGUGAAAACCAUUGUGUGAUAAAAAAUUUGUUAAAAGAAUUGAUAAAUUUUUUAUUUCAUUAUUAGAUAAAUUUUAUAUAACAUCAAAUUUUCCAUAAUAUAUUUGGCCUUUUUUCUAAAUAUUUAUAGAAAUCUUGGGAGAAUGAACAGAUAAUCUAUUCCUCUCAUUUGAUUAUUGAUUUAAGAAAAGAUUUCAAUUAAAUGAAUUGACAAAGUGAUUCCAUAUACUGAAAUAUUGUUUAUUUUUGUUAACAAUAAAUUAAAUUUUUGGAUAUGGCUUGGGAAUAAUCUUUGAAACCUAUGAUGUGGUUUGGGUUUGGAUUUCCAUUAAACAUGAACUGGGCCUGAAAAUUAUUUUUACUUAUGACCUAGGCUGGAUGAAGAAAUCAAUGCCAGUGAAGGUCUCUAAUUUCAAUGAUUAAAAUAUAUCAUUUCUCAGACUUUAUUUGAAGAUAAAUGAAUGGGCAAAUCACAAAUAUGCCUGUUUUCAAUUAUUUGCAAAAUUUAUUAGGAUUGUUAAUUUAAAGAAACUAUGAUUUCAAAGCAUCAUACAUUUCUAAAAAUUGUUGGACACUAAGAAAUAAAGAAAUCAAUUGUGAAGUGUAUAAUGGAGGAAAUAUUGAUCCAUGAUUGUUUUGGCAUAAAUAACAAAAAAUAUUAUAUUUUUUGUGACCAUGCAUUAAGCUUACAUAUAAUAUAAUAGGAAUCUUUUAAGAAAACAUUAUCAAAAAUAUAAGUUAAUAGCUGAUAGUCCAUUAUGAAUGACUGGUAAUCAGAAUUUUCUUCUUUAUUCAAUGAUGGGUGCAUAAUAAAUUUCCUUUAUAUGAUGAUGAUUGAAUCAGUAAAUUUUUCAUUAUUUUUAUAAAAUAUGUUAAUAGAGUGUAUAUUUAUGAAUUUUAAUUUAAAAACAAUAAGGGUCUAGAAUAUAUUUUUUUGAUUAUAAAUUACAAAUACAAAUGAAUAAGAAUUUAUUUUAAAAGAUUUUAAUAUAUUUUUUAGAUUAAAAAUAUAAUACAAAUGAAUAAAAAUUUAUUGUGCACAUAUAUUAAAAUAUCUAAAUAUAUAUUUCUUUAAUAUAUUUUGUAAAACCACUGGAAAAUUUUAAAAUUACACCCUCAUUUAAACAAAUAUAAAUUUAAUUUCUGAAUCACACCUCAUAAGAUAGGAGAAUUUUAAGAUUCAGCCAUCCACCGUCAAAUAAAGGAUAAAAUUAUGAUUCUCCAUCAUUCUUGAUGGCCAUCAGUGAAUGCCAAGUAACAAAACAAUAUAUAAAGUCAAAUGUGACUAUAUUAAUUGUAAAACUUCUAAAAUAAGAAGUGACAAAAUAAAUAACCAUUAUAAACAUAAACAUCCUCAUGUCAAGUUAUCUGAUAUCAAAUUUACAAAGAUAGCUAUCAAAAAGGAUAAUAAUUGGGUAUCCUUAAAUAAAGAUAUUCCAUUCAAUAUCACAAAUGGGGUUGAAACCAAGUUACAAAAAAAAUCAAUAACAUCUUACUUCCAAAAACACAAAUCUUUUAUUGAAGAUUCCCAAAUUAUAUUAUCUCAUACAAUGCCCAGUUCCAGUGAUCUGCUGAUUUUGAAUAAUGAGCUCAAAUCUUUUACUGAAGAUUCCCAAAUUAUAUUAUCUCAUACAAUGCCCAGUUCCAGUGAUCUGGUGAUUUUGAAUGAUGAGGUACUUAAUUUAAAUAAGAUUUGUUUGAUAAUUCUGAAGUGAAUAAAUUAUGAAAUAUUUUCCACUUUUCUAUAUCUUAAUUAAGAAUAAAAUUUUUAUUAAAAUUAAGAUUUUCAUAAGUAAACAAAUUUUAACCACUCUUUAUUUAAUAAUUAGCAUGAAUCUUUUAUUGAAGAUUCCCAAAUUAUAUUAUCUUCUCAUACAAUGCCCAGUUCCAGUGAUCUGCUGAUUUUGAAUAAUGAGCACAAAUCUUUUACUGAAGAUUCCCAAAUUAUAUUAUCUCAUACAAUGCCCAGUUCCAGUGAUCUG
Molecule: RNA transcript, 2428 nt
Organism: Gordionus sp. m RMFG-2023
Lineage: Eukaryota; Metazoa; Nematomorpha; Gordioida; Chordodea; Parachordodidae
Exons: 7
Source: RefSeq, a predicted model, not a curated record